GUACACCCUAACUGGUACGCGGCACCUACAUUGAAACUUUGCUUUGUUAUAGUGAAGUUGACUGCGAUACUCGUCACAAAUGUCAUAUAAACGUCGAUCAGAAAGAGUGGCUGUCAAACGAUGACUAGCUAUUUUGAUUGAAAUACUGUUGUAGCUUUAUUCCAUAGAGGUUCUAUUAUAGAGUAUGUAAUUGGAUAUAAUUAGCUCUCGGCAUUAUACUUAUGUGCUUUCUGUUCCCGAAUAGUUACUUAUUUAUAAAUUUGCGUGAUUAGAAGUAAAGUUUGAGAUUGCGUAUAUUGUAGUUACAGCUAAUAAUUGGUAUAGAUUUUCAGGUACAUGCAACGGCUUUAAUAGUAGCUCGUAAAUAGUAGUAUUUUGGCUGCUUAUUUUCACUAUUGAAACCUGUAGAUCCAUUCCCAACGGAAUUAGGAAAGCUUACAAACGAAAAUUUUAAUCGCUGCGCUUAUCGCUGCGACAAUAAACAACGAUUAAAAUUA
Long non-coding RNA from Armigeres subalbatus, 497 nucleotides. RefSeq lists it as uncharacterized. The record is from RefSeq and is a predicted model, not a curated record. The transcript is spliced from 2 exons. NCBI's taxonomy places the organism in Eukaryota, Metazoa, Arthropoda, Insecta, Diptera, Culicidae.